CCAAAUUUGAUGAAGGGGAGAGUAAGGUAUAUUAACUGGUUACCAGCGAGUCAGGGAUGGUGGAAGCCUGAUAACCAUAAUAUAUCUGAAGCGCACCCCGGAGAAGUCAAUCUGAACCACUGAAGUAGGGUUGACCGGUACUUACCGUUAACAGAUUAAGCGGGUAUAAUUUUUAUAGUUAUACCAAGCAGAGUGGCACCACGGGAACAACUCUCGUCUCUAUC
This 224-nucleotide non-coding RNA is filed under the name Halothermothrix orenii. RNAcentral's name for it is "T-box sequence". It matches the Rfam family "T-box leader". Rfam says of the family: Uncharged tRNA acts as the effector for transcription antitermination of genes in the T-box leader family. The record is from RNAcentral. Lineage: Bacteria; Bacillati; Bacillota; Clostridia; Halanaerobiales; Halothermotrichaceae.